This is a long non-coding RNA of Folsomia candida, 337 nucleotides long. RefSeq lists it as uncharacterized. The transcript has 2 exons. The record is from RefSeq and is a predicted model, not a curated record. Lineage: Eukaryota; Metazoa; Arthropoda; Collembola; Entomobryomorpha; Isotomidae.
CAUUCAAAGGCAAUUGUGGAGUUUUGGGACUCAACAUAGCAAGAAUAAACUGUUUAUUGUCAUGAUCCAAGACAAGUUUCACCGAUGAACCUUAAUUAAGAAUGGAAAACAUGUAAACUAAGUUGCAAGGCGGAGGAAUCUACAAAAGGCGCACACAAUAACAACCGAGCAAGUCAGACAAAUGGUUCGCAUUUACACUUUGGACUCUGGAAAUAAAUUUAUUGCUGCUGUGUGACAAAUGUGAAUGAAAGCAUUGUUCCUUGAACUUGAAAAUUAUUUUAUCCUGAUGUAUAUUACAUAAAAUUUUAUUUUUAAUAAAUUCAAUUUUAGAACGAAA